AAAUCAGGGAGGGUGAGAGAGAACUGAGGAGAGCCAGCCUCACAGUGGAGUCAACACUGCUUAGUGUCCACUUUGAAUGGGAUCUCCAGAACCCAGCCACUGUAUUGGAGAGAAUUGUAAAAGCAAGGAAGGCACAGCUGCUGCCUCAGCCUGUCAGCUGGAACUAGGGACACUGCAGUGAGAUUCCAGAUACAGAACACCAACAAAAGGGAGUAUCGGGUGCUGUGUUGGAGCCUUUUCACCCCAGCAGUGGCUCCCAGUCUGCCAUAAGGAGCCAAAAAGUUGAAUAUAGAGAUCAAGAUCCCGGCAGCAGCGAUUCUGAUGUAGUUGGUAAGCAUGAUGUCUUAAGAUUCUGUGGUGUCUUGCAAACUUUAUA
This 376-nucleotide long non-coding RNA is filed under the name Mus spicilegus (steppe mouse). RNAcentral describes it as "lncRNA (ENSMSIG00000001564.1)". The record is from RNAcentral. Lineage: Eukaryota; Metazoa; Chordata; Mammalia; Rodentia; Muridae.